This 204-nucleotide long non-coding RNA is filed under the name Pongo abelii (Sumatran orangutan). RNAcentral's name for it is "lincRNA". The record is from RNAcentral. Lineage: Eukaryota; Metazoa; Chordata; Mammalia; Primates; Hominidae.
GCAGGAGGGGAGAUUCCAGGCAGAGGAAACUGUUUGAGGUAAAGAAAACAAAAAACACAAAACCCAGCAUGGUGCGUACUGGAGAUGCAGAUGCUGUGGCUCAAAGGAUUAAUUAAUUUGCUUAAGAUAAUGCAACACGAGAAAAGCAGAUCAGGACCGAAUUCCAGAACGAUUUUGCUUGAAAUAACACUACUACUAAUUGUC